This 465-nucleotide ribosomal RNA is filed under the name uncultured bacterium. RNAcentral describes it as "partial 16S ribosomal RNA". It matches the Rfam family "Bacterial small subunit ribosomal RNA", at positions 28 to 507 of the family's 1533-position model. The record is from RNAcentral.
GACGAACGCUGGCGGCGUGCUUAACACAUGCAAGUCGAACGGAAAGGCCCCUUUUGGGGUACUCGAGUGGCGAACGGGUGAGUAACACGUGAGUAACCUUCCCUUGACUUCGGGAUAACUUCAGGAAACUGGGGCUAAUACCGGCUAGGAAUCCUUGCUGCAUGGUGGGGGUUGGAAAGCUUCGGCGGUUUUGGAUGGACUUGCGGCUUAUCAGCUUGUUGGUGGGGUAGUGGCUUACCAAGGCUUUGACGGGUAGCCGGCCUGAGAGGGCGACCGGCCACAUUGGGACUGAGAGACGGCCCAGACGCCUACGGGAGGCAGCAGGGGGGAAUAUUGCACAAUGGGCGGAAGCCUGAUGCAGCAACGCCGCGUGCGGGAUGACGGCCUUCGGGUUGAAAACCGCUUUCAGCAGGGGCGAAGCUUGUGGUGACGGUACCUGCAGAAGAAGCACCGGCUAACUACGUG